CCUACGGGAGGCAGCAGUGAGGAAUAUUGGUCAAUGGACGCAAGUCUGAACCAGCCAUGCCGCGUGCAGGAAGACGGAUCUAUGAUUUGUAAACUGCUUUUGUAGGAGGGUAAACGCAGAUACGCGUAUCUGUCUGAAAGUAUCCUACGAAUAAGCAUCGGCUAACUCCGUGCCAGCAGCCGCGGUAAUACGGAGGAUUCAAGCGUUAUCCGGAUUUAUUGGGUUUAAAGGGUGCGUAGGCGGUUGGUUAAGUUAGAGGUGAAAGCCCGAGGCUCAACUUCGGAAUUGCCUUUGAUACUGGACGGCUAGAGAGUAGUUGCGGUAGGCGGAAUGUAUGGUGUAGCGGUGAAAUGCAUAGAGAUCAUACAGAACACCGAUUGCGAAGGCAGCUUACCAAGCUAUAUCUGACGCUGAAGCACGAAAGCGUGGGGAGCAAACAGGAUUAGAUACCCCUGUAGUC
RNAcentral lists this ribosomal RNA (460 nucleotides) under uncultured bacterium. RNAcentral describes it as "partial 16S ribosomal RNA". It matches the Rfam family "Bacterial small subunit ribosomal RNA", at positions 338 to 795 of the family's 1533-position model. The record is from RNAcentral.